AUGGUUGAGGAUGUGGCACGUACUAAUCUAGCAAGUGUCGUGACCCGGUUGUUCUUGUUUAUAGUAAGUCCACAGACACCUGGAACAAAUAAAAACUUUGGAAACAAUGAAGAGGAAGAAAACAUUGAAGGGAACAACACUAUGGAAUUGCCACUACAUUACCGAGCAUGUGCCGGUGGGAUGAAUGUAUUGGGUCUUCUUCCAUCGACAAGAUUUGCCAGUGCAUUGCAGUGUCGUUGUCGGCGGGCAGCAGGAUCUUUCCUGUCACUGCAAUUUCCUGGCAGGCCGGUGGAUAGAUAUACCCAUGUUUUGGGUGGGGCAUUCUGUCGAACACUUUCUGCGCGCCCUUCCAUCAGAAUUCAGAACCCUUUGCUUGCUGAUCCUGCGCUCAGUUUGAAGCAUCGAGAACCCAAAUUUUGUGAUUAA
Molecule: ribosomal RNA, 426 nt
Filed under: Triticum aestivum (bread wheat)
Lineage: Eukaryota; Viridiplantae; Streptophyta; Magnoliopsida; Poales; Poaceae
Description: partial small subunit ribosomal RNA
Source: RNAcentral